RNAcentral lists this ribosomal RNA (251 nucleotides) under uncultured bacterium. Its description in RNAcentral is "partial 16S ribosomal RNA". It matches the Rfam family "Bacterial small subunit ribosomal RNA", at positions 526 to 776 of the family's 1533-position model. The record is from RNAcentral.
CGUAGGGCGCAAGCGUUGUCCGGAAUUAUUGGGCGUAAAGAGCUCGUAGGCGGUUUGUCGCGUCUGCUGUGAAAACCUGAGGCUCAACCUCGGGCUUGCAGUGGGUACGGGCAGACUAGAGUGCGGUAGGGGUGACUGGAAUUCCUGGUGUAGCGGUGGAAUGCGCAGAUAUCAGGAGGAACACCGAUGGCGAAGGCAGGUCACUGGGCCGCAACUGACGCUGAGGAGCGAAAGCAUGGGGAGCGAACAGG